GACGAACGCUGGCGGCGUGCUUAACACAUGCAAGUCGAACGGAAAGGCCCUGCUUGCAGGGUCCUCGAGUGGCGAACGGGUGAGUAACACGUGGGUGAUCUGCCCUUCACUUCGGGAUAAGCUUGGGAAACUGGGUCUAAUACCGGAUAGGAACCAUCUUUAGUGUGGUGGUUGGAAAGUUUUUUCGGUGUAGGAUGAGCUCGCGGCCUAUCAGCUUGUUGGUGGGGUAAUGGCCUACCAAGGCGGCGACGGGUAGCCGGCCUGAGAGGGUGUACGGCCACAUUGGGACUGAGAUACGGCCCAGACUCCUACGGGAGGCAGCAGUGGGGAAUAUUGCACAAUGGGCGCAAGCCUGAUGCAGCGACGCCGCGUGGGGGAUGAAGGCCUUCGGGUUGUAAACUCCUUUCGCUAGGGACGAAGCUUUGUUGUGACGGUACCUAGAUAAGAAGCACCGGCUAACUACGUG
RNAcentral lists this ribosomal RNA (466 nucleotides) under uncultured bacterium. RNAcentral's name for it is "partial 16S ribosomal RNA". It matches the Rfam family "Bacterial small subunit ribosomal RNA", at positions 28 to 507 of the family's 1533-position model. The record is from RNAcentral.